This 1478-nucleotide ribosomal RNA is filed under the name metagenome. RNAcentral describes it as "bacterial SSU rRNA". It matches the Rfam family "Bacterial small subunit ribosomal RNA". The record is from RNAcentral.
AGAGUUUGAUCCUGGCUCAGAAUGAACGCUGGCGGCAUGGAUUAGGCAUGCAAGUCGAACGUGAAGCUCCAGCUUGCUGGAGUGGAAAGUGGCGCAAGGGUGAGUAACACGUGAGCAAUCUGCCCCCGGAUUCGGGAUAGCCCGCGGAAACGCGGAUUAAUACCGUAUACGGCCUCUGUCAUGCAUGUGACAGAGUGCGAAAGAUUUAUUGUCCGGGGAUGAGCUCGCGCCCCAUUAGCUAGUUGGUAAGGUAACGGCUUACCAAGGCUGUGACGGGUAGGUGGUCUGGGAGGAUGGUCACCCACACUGGGACUGAGACACUGCCCAGACUCCUACGGGAGGCUGCAGUCGAGAAUCAUCCGCAAUGGGCGAAAGCCUGACGGUGCAAUGCCGCGUGGGGGAUGAAGGCCUUCGGGUCGUAAACCCCUGUCAACCGGGACGAAGAAGUGACGGUACCGGUAGAGGAAGCCACGGCUAACUACGUGCCAGCAGCCGCGGUAAUACGUAGGUGGCGAGCGUUAUUCGGAUUUACUGGGCGUAAAGGGUCCGCAGGGGGUUUGUCUAGUCUGAUGUGAAAUCCCGAAGCCCAACUUCGGAACUGCAUUGGAUACUGGCGAACUCGAGUACAGGAGGGGUGAGCGGAAUUCCAGGUGUAGCGGUGGAAUGCGUAGGUAUCUGGAAGAACACCGAUGGCGAAGGCGGCUCACUGGCCUGCUACUGACCCUCAUGGACGAAAGCGUGGGGAGCGAACAGGAUUAGAUACCCUGGUAGUCCACGCCGUAAACGUUGUGUACUAGAUGUGGGCGGAUUCGAUCCCGUCCGUGUCCAAGCUAACGCGUUAAGUACACCGCCUGGGGACUACGGCCUCAAGGCUAAAACACAAAGGAAUUGACGGGGGCCUGCACAAGCGGUGGAGCAUGUGGCUCAAUUCGAGGCGACGCGAAGAACCUUACCUGGGUUUGACAUAUUCCGGACCGGGUGUGAAAGCAUCCUUCUCUUCGGAGCCGGUAUACAGGUGCUGCAUGGCUGUCGUCAGCUCGUGUCGUGAGAUGUUCGGUUAAGUCCGGCAACGAGCGCAACCCGUGUCGUCAGUUGCUACCAAGUAAUGUUGGGCACUCUGGCGAGACCGCCCGUGUCAAGCGGGAGGAAGGCGCGGAUGACGUCAAGUCCGUAUGGCCCUUACAUCCAGGGCUGCACACGUGCUACAAUGGUCGGUACAAUGGGAAGCGAUACCGCGAGGUGGAGCAAAUCCUAAAAACCGGCCCCAGUUCGGAUUGGAGUCUGCAACUCGACUCCAUGAAGUCGGAAUCGCUAGUAAAGGGGUAUCAGCAACGGCCCCUUGAAUGCGUUCCCGGGCCUUGUACACACCGCCCGUCACACCAUGGAAGCUGGCUGCACCCGAAGUCGUUGACCCAACCCCUCGGGGAGGGAGGCGCCGAAGGUGUGUCUAGUAACUGGGAUGAAGUCGUAACAAGGUA